GCGUUGUUCGGAAUUACUGGGCGUAAAGGGCGCGUAGGCGGCCCUGUCAGUCGGGUGUGAAAGCCCGGGGCUCAACCCCGGAACGGCACCCGAGACGGCAGGGCUGGAGACCGGGAGAGGAGGGUGGAAUAGCCAGUGUAGAGGUGAAAUUCGUAGAUAUUGGCUGGAACACCGGUGGCGAAAGCGGCUCUCUGGCCCGGUUCUGACGCUGAGGCGCGAAAGCGUG
Molecule: ribosomal RNA, 226 nt
Filed under: uncultured bacterium
Lineage: Bacteria
Description: partial 16S ribosomal RNA
Rfam family: Bacterial small subunit ribosomal RNA
Source: RNAcentral